Molecule: long non-coding RNA, 619 nt
Filed under: Salmo salar (Atlantic salmon)
Lineage: Eukaryota; Metazoa; Chordata; Actinopteri; Salmoniformes; Salmonidae
Description: lncRNA (ENSSSAG00000092482.1)
Source: RNAcentral
UGUAAAUACGACCUUAGAUGUAGUCUCAUGCUAUACUAUGGUCUCAUACUUAGUACAUGUGACAUCAAUAGGUUCCCUUCUCAUCACCGUGGAAGACUCCAGUGUACUUACUGAUGGGACAAGAUGACAUCUCCUCUGGCUAUGGAAGCAGCAGAGUGACGCACAGAGCUGCUGAUCAACUGGUUGCUGACAGGCUGGUCCUGGGGCUGGUUGAGGGUCAACCUCAUCCUCUUCUUCCAAUUCACUAUCAAACUCCGAAUUGACAGAGACAUGAUCCUCAUAUUCUGAAAAUGCUUAAUCUUCCAAAGUGGAAGACGCUCCUUCCACACAAGCUUCUGCCUCUGUAAAAAUGAUUUCUAAGGCCCUCUGAGCAGAGAUCAUUUUUGCCAUACUGAGUGAUUGUGCAGCAGCCCGCCUCUUCACACGCAAACCUUUGUCAGGAGGAACCAGUGCACACAGGUAUCAUUCAUCAAAGUGUGGAGACAGCUAGAUGUAGGGCCUGCAGGUGUGCUCUGCCUCUUGCAGGGUUUACACUGGGGUUGGAUAACACACACUGAUAGUUAGAGUGUUGGGCCAGUAACCGACAGGUUGAUGGUUCAAAUACUGGAGCAGACAAGGU